CAGGCAGGAGACCCUGGACCAUUUCAAUCAAAUCAGAAUAGAGCUGGAAGGGACCUUGGAGGUCUUCUAGUCCAACCUCUUGUUCAAGCACGAGACCCUAGGCCAUUUC
Thamnophis elegans (Western terrestrial garter snake) is the source of this 109-nucleotide long non-coding RNA. RefSeq lists it as uncharacterized. The transcript has 2 exons. Lineage: Eukaryota; Metazoa; Chordata; Lepidosauria; Squamata; Natricidae. The record is from RefSeq and is a predicted model, not a curated record.